RNAcentral lists this long non-coding RNA (230 nucleotides) under Elaeis guineensis (African oil palm). RNAcentral's name for it is "long non-coding RNA (EGUI_LNC017097)". Lineage: Eukaryota; Viridiplantae; Streptophyta; Magnoliopsida; Arecales; Arecaceae. The record is from RNAcentral.
CAAGGGGUCUCAAGGCAUUGAAAGAUCGUUUCUCCCUCCUUUGUUCGCUAAGAAACAACUUUUCGACUGGUGGUAGGAGGUUUCUCAAGUAUUCCAUCGCGGAUUGGAGGAUCUCUCCUAUCGAUAGAGUAUGAGGUAUCGAAUCUGAGGGUCUUGCAUGAGCAGUGGAUGCAAGAAAAUGCCUAGUAAGAGUCGCCAUCUCUGGAGAUCCCCCAAUCUCUAUCAUCUUG